Hypanus sabinus (Atlantic stingray) is the source of this 421-nucleotide long non-coding RNA. RefSeq lists it as uncharacterized. The transcript is spliced from 4 exons. The record is from RefSeq and is a predicted model, not a curated record. Lineage: Eukaryota; Metazoa; Chordata; Chondrichthyes; Myliobatiformes; Dasyatidae.
GCUAGGGUCUCGGCCUACCUACAACGGCUGAUCCUCCGAUCUCCAGUCGUCUGUCGAUCACGAACACUCCUUACUCCCGCUCCGCUGCCCGCACCGACAUUCAGGUAAUCCUAGAUAACGGGAUGAUGUUCAGAUCAGGGCUCUGUGGAAGUUAUACCAUCUGAAACCAUAUAAAAACAUCUCGGGUGCCUGACUUUUGCACAAUGCUUGGGAAAGGAAAGAAGAGAAGAUGAAGAAUGGUGAUCGGGGUCCUUCAUUAUGUUGGCUGCUUUCCCAAGGCAGCAGGAAGUGUAAAUGGAUUCGAUAGAGGGGAGACUGGUUUUGUGAUGGACUGGGCUACGUUUACUAAUCUGCCUGUGCAUCUUUGGAACGUGAGAGAAGACCAGAGCACCCACAUGGUCAGAAUCAGGUUUAAAGUCGC